Andrographis paniculata is the source of this 585-nucleotide long non-coding RNA. RefSeq lists it as uncharacterized. The transcript is spliced from 2 exons. The record is from RefSeq and is a predicted model, not a curated record. Lineage: Eukaryota; Viridiplantae; Streptophyta; Magnoliopsida; Lamiales; Acanthaceae.
GCCGGCUGCUCCAGCUUCACGUAUUACAGUAAUCUUCCUACUAGCCAUGGAUGCAGCACCCUAGAACAGGAAAGCAAGGACCAUCGUUUGUCUAUGUUAGUAAGCUGAUCUUAGCUGCAAAAAGGGCCAAAUGAAUAGAAACAAAAAACUUGCUUACUGCUUUAAAAUACCCUUCAGCAGAUAGAGACAAUACUUGCCUGAAGAAUGCGCAGGAACGUCCCACUUUGGGUCAUAGCACCAGAACAGGAGCAGGUCAUUAACAAUCCACCUCUUCUUGUUACUUGCAUGGCCAAGGAGUUUAAGUUCCUAUACAUGCCGGAUGCGCUGUGCAACACCUAAACAUGUAAAAAUUGGCACUUAGGGUGGGGAAAAUAAACAUAAAUAGGUAGAAUAUAAUGCAUGCAUGAUAAGAUUUUUUGUUUGCUGUCACCAAAUGUAAGAGAAAGUCUCACCUAGGAUGACCACAAGGGAUGUCAUGUAAUACAAAAGUUUAGGCUGGGUAUAAACCAACAAUGUAUAAUACCUAGAAUGUACCACAUGCCUACAACAAGAGGAAAUGGAAAUUUUUUAAGUUACUUUGGAUUA